RNAcentral lists this long non-coding RNA (229 nucleotides) under Elaeis guineensis (African oil palm). Its description in RNAcentral is "long non-coding RNA (EGUI_LNC058799)". Lineage: Eukaryota; Viridiplantae; Streptophyta; Magnoliopsida; Arecales; Arecaceae. The record is from RNAcentral.
AUCUGAAAAAAUUCCAGAUAAUUAUCCACAAAAUAGCUGAUCAAAUGUGAAACAUUAUCAAGAUGGUGGUAUUCCAAUUUAAAUGUGCUUGAUCUACAGAAGGACUCUCCAAAAUGCAAAGAGACACACUGCUUCACCACAUGUGCGCGUAGAGAUCCUUUCUUUCCAAUUUUUCUUCACCCAAUAUUUUUCAAAAAAAAUCCAUCUCAUGCUUUGAGAUAUACACCAG